RNAcentral lists this ribosomal RNA (321 nucleotides) under uncultured microorganism. RNAcentral describes it as "bacterial SSU rRNA". It matches the Rfam family "Archaeal small subunit ribosomal RNA", at positions 330 to 600 of the family's 1478-position model. The record is from RNAcentral.
GUGCAGCAGGCGCGAAACCUUUACAAUGCCUGAAAGGGUGAUAAGGGCAUCCUGAGUGCUCCAGCAUUGCUGGGGCUUUUCCGGAGUGUAAAAAGCUCCGGGAAUAAGUGGUGGGUAAGACGGGUGCCAGCCAUUUACAUGUCUUACAAUUAAAACUCUAAGUUUCAAAGGCAUGUAAACUGGAAGCCGCGGUAAUACCCGCGCCACAAGUGGUGAUCACGGUUAUUGGGUCUAGAGCGUUCGUAGCCGGCCUAAUAAAUUCUUGGUGAAAUCCCGUGUAAAACAUGGGAAGAGCUAAGAACAACUAUUAGGCUAGGGACC